UCGAUCUCGCACAUCGAUUGGAAAUCACGCGUAACACAUCGAUCACAGUAGUACGUCUACCCCAAUCAUAUCUUAACUCUCUGCAUAUGGAAAAACGACAGAGAGGAAACAACGGGAAGAAAGAUGAAGAGGAUACGAUAUUAGCUUCUCAUUACGAAACAAGGAUAAAACAUAUAUACGUGACGUUCUUAUCUUAGGUUUGAGCGAGCAAAACAGUAAACAGAGGGGAAAAUAGUGAAAAAGAGAUAAAUAAUAAGGAAAAAGAGUUAAGAGAGUGAAGAAUGGAGAAAAGAAGAAAGAGAAAGAGAGAUGUUACCACGCUUCUUCGCGUCCUACUACCUUCGACGCGAUCGCUACACUGAUACUGAACCGAGUUCGCCCCGUGGCCCAAGUUCUCGGAGGAAAACAACGCGCUCUCGUGAUCGGCGUAGUGUACGUGAGGGUGGUCGAAUGUCUACAUGUACCGGGACGAAAUUCAAAACCUGUUACGUGACGCUCAGAAGAUAAUACUGGUGUCCGAGCCAAACUUGUCCAUUUUCGAUUUGAAAUUCUUAUCGUCUACCUUCGAUUGGAUUUCUUUUUCAAAAAAUCAUUCUCAGUAUGUUUUUUACCUAUUAUAAUUUUCAAUCGAUUAGAUAAAUGGAAAAAUUAAUUUCUCAUUGUUUCGAUUCUGCCACGAAAAAGCAAUUCUAUUCAAUGUUGAACAUUGUUUGUUCCGUUUUAAGACAUGACCAUUUUAAGAAUGCAAAUAUAUUUCAAAAUGUUUAUCGUCUUCUCAAUGAAACUGGUACGGAAUAUUAUAAACGUAUUGUUAUUUAAUAUAUUUAUUUUAAUUAUAUUUAAUCUUAAUUAUAAUCAUAAACUGCAUUUUUUAUUAAAAAAAAAAGUGAGAAACUUUGAAACGAUGAGAUAUAUACAUUAUUAUUUGAACUCUCAAGAUAAAUAUUUUCUAGAAUAAUGUAUCUGAUUAUAUGUAGAUGAAUCUAUCGAACUUGUGAUGUAAAUUAGAAAAUUAAGAAAUUUUAGGAAAAAUAUUUAUUAUAGAGAAAUUUCUGACUUCUUCAGAAUUAAUCACAUAUACAAUAUAAAUAUAUAAUAUCUUCACACUUAGAUCAGUGAAUUUGUGACACUGAUACACGAAUGUAUCGUCAAGAUUAACUUGCUACCAUCAAGGUAGAAAUGAGUCAUCGUGCAUGAGUAAUAUGAUAAAACUAGGUUUCUAAUUGUUGUAUAGUCAUACUAAUAUAAAAUACACGCGUACGCGCAUAUAAAAACAAAAGAAAAGAAAUAUAUUAAUUAGUUGCAUAUUCGGAUUCUUCGUUUAUGCUUGUAUGAAAUUAAAUAAAUUAGUAAAUAAUUCAUAAAUAGAGAAAAUUAACACGAAUGAGGAAUAGAUAACAUCGUUAUCGACGAACGUAUUUUAAUACUAUUUCACUUAAAUUUCUUGCUUCUUCCAAGAAAAUGAAUACAAUACGAGAAAGGAAAGAAGAAAAAAAAAAUAAAAAAAAAUAGACUAGAAAAUAAAGUCUAAGAAACUUCUUGGCAUCUCUUUGGCUUGUUUACGUCGAUAUCAACGGCGUGUCGCGUUACUAGUCAUUCGAUAUUGUCAAAACAGGAGACUUCUUCAGCAAAGACAACCAAGGGAUGAAAUUACCCCAAUGGUGAUCGAAAAAGCCUACCAAAAAUACUGUUCUAAUUCAAUUAGAGUAGGGUGCACGCGAUGCGCAAAGGAAAACACAUGUAUUCAGGGAAUUACAUUUUCGAAAGUAAUUAAAUUAACGUCGAAAAUGUAAACAUUGGCAAAAAACUACAUAAUACAGCAAGGUUUUAAUUUUGCUUUAACGACUAACAGCUUGAACAAACUUUACGAGCAAUUCUUUAUUUUACAUUCGUUUUGAUUGGUAAUGUUUGCAGUUAUAACGAUUUUAUUUUCAUUAAUAAAAACAAAUGUAAAAAAAAAAAAAA
Apis florea (little honeybee) is the source of this 1965-nucleotide long non-coding RNA. Lineage: Eukaryota; Metazoa; Arthropoda; Insecta; Hymenoptera; Apidae. The record is from RefSeq and is a predicted model, not a curated record.